CCUACGGGAGGCAGCAGUGGGGAAUAUUGGACAAUGGGCGAAAGCCUGAUCCAGCCAUGCCGCGUGUGUGAAGAAGGCCUUCGGGUUGUAAAGCACUUUCAGUGGGGAAGAAAGCCUUGGGGCUAAUACCCUCGAGGAAGGACAUCACCCACAGAAGAAGCACCGGCUAACUCCGUGCCAGCAGCCGCGGUAAUACGGAGGGUGCGGGCGUUAAUCGGAAUUACUGGGCGUAAAGCGCGCGUAGGCGGUCUGAUAAGCCGGUUGUGAAAGCCCCGGGCUCAACCUGGGAACGGCAUCCGGAACUGUCAGGGUAGAGUGCAGGAGAGGAAGGUAGAAUUCCCGGUGUAGCGGUGAACUGCGUAGAGAUCGGGAGGAAUACCAGUGGCGAAGGCGGCCUUCUGGACUGACACUGACGCUGAGGUGCGAAAGCGUGGGUAGCAAACAGGAUUAGAUACCCGUGUAGCC
Molecule: ribosomal RNA, 465 nt
Filed under: Vreelandella stevensii
Lineage: Bacteria; Pseudomonadati; Pseudomonadota; Gammaproteobacteria; Oceanospirillales; Halomonadaceae
Description: partial 16S ribosomal RNA
Rfam family: Bacterial small subunit ribosomal RNA
Source: RNAcentral